Molecule: ribosomal RNA, 254 nt
Filed under: uncultured bacterium
Lineage: Bacteria
Description: partial 16S ribosomal RNA
Rfam family: Bacterial small subunit ribosomal RNA
Source: RNAcentral
GAGCCUACGGGAGGCAGCAGUGGUGAAUAUUGCACAAUGGGGGAAACCCUGAUGCAGCGACGCCGCGUGAGUGAAGAAGUAUUUCGGUAUGUAAAGCUCUAUCAGCAGGAACGAGACAAGACGGUACCUGACUAAGAAGCCCCGGCUAACUACGUGCCAGCAGCCGCGGUAAUACGUAGGGGGCAAGCGUUAUCCGGAUUUACUGGGUGUAAAGGGAGCGUAGACGGUGCAGCAAGUCUGAUGUGAAAGGUCGG